RNAcentral lists this ribosomal RNA (255 nucleotides) under uncultured bacterium. RNAcentral describes it as "partial 16S ribosomal RNA". It matches the Rfam family "Bacterial small subunit ribosomal RNA", at positions 524 to 776 of the family's 1533-position model. The record is from RNAcentral.
UACGGAGGGGGCUAGCGUUUGUUCGGAAUUACUGGGCGUAAAGCGCACGUAGGCGGCUUUGUAAGUUAGAGGUGAAAGCCCAGGGCUCAACCCUGGAAUUGCCUUUAAGACUGCAUCGCUAGAAUUGUGGAGAGGUAAGUGGAAUUCCGAGUGUAGAGGUGAAAUUCGUAGAUAUUCGGAAGAACACCAGUGGCGAAGGCGACUUACUGGACACAUAUUGACGCUGAGGUGGCGAAAGCGUGGGGAGCAAACAGG